GACGAACGCUGGCGGCGUGCUUAACACAUGCCAGUCGAACGGAAAGGCCCUGCUUUUGUUGGGUGCUCGAGUGGCGAACGGGUGAGUAACACGUGAGUAACCUGCCCUUGACUUUGGGAUAACUUCAGGAAACUGGGGCUAAUACCGGAUAGGAUCUCCUGCUGCAUGGUGGGGGUUGGAAAGUUUCGGCGGUUGGGGAUGGACUCGCGGCUUAUCAGCUUGUUGGUGAGGUAGUGGCUUACCAAGGCUUUGACGGGUAGCCGGCCUGGGAGGGGGACCGGCCACAUUGGGACUGAGAUACGGCCCAGACUCCUACGGGAGGCAGCAGUGGGGAAUAUUGCACAAUGGGCGGAAGCCUGAUGCAGCAACGCCGGGUGCGGGAUGACGGCCUUCGGGUUGUAAACCGCUUUCGCCUGUGACGAAGCGUGAGUGACGGUAAUGGGUAAAGAAGCAACGGCUAACUACGUG
This 468-nucleotide ribosomal RNA is filed under the name uncultured bacterium. Its description in RNAcentral is "partial 16S ribosomal RNA". It matches the Rfam family "Bacterial small subunit ribosomal RNA", at positions 28 to 507 of the family's 1533-position model. The record is from RNAcentral.